RNAcentral lists this ribosomal RNA (446 nucleotides) under uncultured bacterium. RNAcentral's name for it is "partial 16S ribosomal RNA". It matches the Rfam family "Bacterial small subunit ribosomal RNA", at positions 338 to 795 of the family's 1533-position model. The record is from RNAcentral.
CCUACGGGGGGCUGCAGUCGAGAAUCAUUCACAAUGGGGGAAACCCUGAUGGUGCGACGCCGCGUGGGGGAAUGAAGGUCUUCGGAUUGUAAACCCCUGUCAUGUGGGAGCAAAUUAAAAAGAUAGUACCACAAGAGGAAGAGACGGCUAACUCUGUGCCAGCAGCCGCGGUAAUACAGAGGGCUCAAGCGUUGUUCGGAAGCACUGGGCGUAAAGGGUGCGUAGGCUGUUUCGUAAGGCGUGUGUGAAAGGCGCGGGCUCAACCCGCGGACGGCACAUGAUACUGCGAGACUAGAGUAAUGGAGAGGGAAGCGGAAUUCUCGGUGUAGCAGUGAAAUGCGUAGAUAUCGAGAGGAACACUCGUGGCGAAGGCGGGUUCCUGGACAUUAACUGACCCUGAGGCACGAAGGCCAGGGGAGCGAAAGGGAUUAGAUACCCCAGUAGUC